This 468-nucleotide ribosomal RNA is filed under the name uncultured bacterium. RNAcentral's name for it is "bacterial SSU rRNA". It matches the Rfam family "Bacterial small subunit ribosomal RNA", at positions 29 to 506 of the family's 1533-position model. The record is from RNAcentral.
ACGAACGCUGGCGGCGCGCUUAACGCAUGCAAGUCGAACGAGAUCCAUCCAGUAGCAAUACUGGUGAAGAUCUAGUGGCGAACGGGUGAGUAUCACGUGAGGAACCCACCCCGGAGACCGGGAUAACCCUCCGAAAGGAGAGCUAAUACCGGAUGUCCUCAUCGGAUCGCAUGUUCUGAUGAGGAAAUGGAUUCCGCUCCGGGACGGCCUCGCGGCCUAUCAGCUAGUUGGUGAGGUAACGGCCCACCAAGGCGACGACGGGUAGCUGGUCUGAGAGGACGAUCAGCCACACUGGGACUGAGACACGGCCCAGACUCCUACGGGAGGCAGCAGCGGGGAAUAUUGCACAAUGGGCGAAAGCCUGAUGCAGCGACGCCGCGUGGGGGAUGAAGGCUCUCGGGUUGUAAACCCCUUUCAGCAGGGACGAAAUCAGACGGUACCUGCAGAAGAAGCUCCGGCCAACUACGU